This is a long non-coding RNA of Lolium rigidum, 2113 nucleotides long. RefSeq lists it as uncharacterized. The transcript is spliced from 6 exons. The record is from RefSeq and is a predicted model, not a curated record. NCBI's taxonomy places the organism in Eukaryota, Viridiplantae, Streptophyta, Magnoliopsida, Poales, Poaceae.
UCCCUUCUCUUCUUCUCUGAAUUUUUGUGUGGAUAUUUGCCUGGUGUGUGCUGCGUCCCCUGGGUUUGUGAUGGAGUGUGUUCAGUCGCCAUUUAGGAAUUGCACCUGAUCUGCGUGUGUUGAGGGCGCAUUGCUGCGGAUUCGUCGAUUUGGGGGCACAUUUUGCUGCCGCCCCUUCGGCCGGUGCCGCCGUUGUGCUGUAUUUGAUGUUUUUUGGGCGCGUGUGGGCAUGCUGGCCAUGCUCUGUUUGGACGGUGUCCAUCUUUCUGUAUCGAAUCUGGAGGAUUCAGAUUUGUUUCUUACUAUAGAUAGGUAGGGAGAAUUGGAUCUAGGCGCACGUCUUGGCUGUAUUUAUUGGUUAUGUUUUCAGAUCAUAAAUCAAUUUUGUUGAAGGAAGAAACUCCAUUUGCUGCUGAGGACCAAAUCAUACAUAACAGAUCCAUUUACUUGUUGGGAAAAAGUAUAAGAGGAGCAGCUUUACAAACAAUAGGAAGUACACAUGAUACGAAGUAGUGAUCUAACUCCAGGCUUACCAACAUAGAUAUUAUUACAAAAAUAGGGUUAUAGUUAUAGAGCAGUUGACAAAGAAGAUUGCAUGUGGCCUGUGUUUUUUCUUACUAUCAAUCUUGAGAUAUGUUGAUGUUUGCGUCUGAUUGCAUGUCCUGUAUUACACAUGUCAUCGGGCACUGCAACUUCAGACCACACUUUUCUGUUUCUGUUAUAUCUGUCCACGGUUUUCCUUGUUUGGAAGUUGGAUUACAGUCAAAGCCUUUGUUCAGUAUAGAUACUCUCCGUCUAAAAAUAGGUGUCUCACUUUUGUUUAGAUACGGAUGUAUACAGAUAAAGUUGAGACAACUAUUUUUAGACUGAGGGAGUAUUAUUUGUUACCUUUUUCUGGAACUUACAUAUUCAAAGCUGAAUUAACUGAGCCAAGGCACUGACUUCUCAAAUGCAUAUAUGUGUGCCCCAGAUGUCAGAUAAUCGUGGCAGUGAGGAGUAAAUUCAUCUCAUCCUCGAUGUCUUCUCUUAUCUACCCAUAGGUGACUAAUGCUCUGCUUCCUCAAUCUGAUGAAGGCCCUUGAUGAAGGCAUUGUGACGAUGAGCUUUGGACUGAGGUUGGUUGGAGCAGAGAACAUCUCUUUGUGCCUAGAACUAACUUUUAUUGCAGUUGUUUGUAUAGCGAGUUCAUGAGAUGAAUGUUGAGGUUGGUGACCAUUGAUUUAUUAUGAUUAGUUCUCAUCUGAGCAUAGGGAGAGGCAUGUUUUUGCAACAAUUUGUUGUUCAGGUAUUAGGUUAUUCAUUCGGACUGGAUCAAAUCCAGUAGCAAAGACAUACAGCAGUGGAGGUCUAAUCAAAAGAGACUACUUCCAGUUGAUUCAGGAAAAUGAGGAGUCGUGUCGACAUCGGAAGGGGUGGCUCGAUGGAGAUUGAUGUGUGCGCGUCCGAUGGCUAGCGGGCAAGGAGAGACGUUGAUUCCUCAGUUGUGUUCCUUUUUUCUUCCAACUUUUGUUCAUUCUAACCUGCAGUAGUGCGUUUGCGGUGCCCAGUUUACAUUACAUCGGAAGGGGUGGCUCCAGUGAGAUUGAUGAGUGCUCAGCCGAUGGCUAGGGGGGAGGGUGGGAGACCUCGAUUCCUCAAUGUAGGGUUGGUGUUAGGCCAGGAGCACGGCGGCAUGCGACAAUACGACAUAAGAAAGGGCUGUAGGGCGAGGCGAUGUGCACCAGCCCUAUGCGACUGCAAGGAGUCAUGAUGCUGUUCAUCGCACCUUGUGCCUUGCUCGCUCUGCCUCUGGGUGAAGGUUGAGGGAUCAGAUGAAGCCGGCACUGACGGAGGAAGGGUCAUCAGGGCGAGGGGCGAACAAGGACCUGGAGGUGGCACACGCGGUGACAACUGACAUGAGCUGGUGUAUUUCUCGUCUUCUCUGAUGCGAGUUCGCUGAUGCUUCUUGCUAUUUGGUCCAGCUCUCUGUUCAUGUUUGUCUUAGCAGUAUAUUUUCAUGUUUUUAAUGCAUCGACGGAUGAUUAAGAUGUUUGGCACCCAGUCUUGUGUUCUGUUUUCUUUUUGCGCAGAUCUUCUAGAUGUGUUUGACGUGCCCGUGCACUUUUUUGACAUG